RNAcentral lists this non-coding RNA (148 nucleotides) under Nomascus leucogenys (northern white-cheeked gibbon). The record is from Rfam by way of RNAcentral. Lineage: Eukaryota; Metazoa; Chordata; Mammalia; Primates; Hylobatidae.
GCUGGGUGUGGUGGUGGGCACCUGUAAUCCCAGCUACUUGGGAGGCUGAGACAGGAGAAUCAUUUGAACCUGGGAGUCGGAGGUUGCAGUGAGCCAAGACAGCACCACUGCAUUCCAGCCUAGGCAACAGAGUGAGACUCUGUCUCAA